Molecule: long non-coding RNA, 431 nt
Organism: Juglans microcarpa x Juglans regia
Lineage: Eukaryota; Viridiplantae; Streptophyta; Magnoliopsida; Fagales; Juglandaceae
Exons: 3
Source: RefSeq, a predicted model, not a curated record
ACUUCAUCAACAAAAUUUAAUGCACAAGAUUGGGAGAUGGAUGACUUCUCGGCCUUUUUUGACCUUGUGUACUCCACUCGUGUGUCGGGAGAAGGUGAAGACAAGAUAUAUUAGCGUCCCUCUAAGAAGGGAGUUUUUACGGCCCGCUCUUUUUAUCAUUCUUUGAACUUGCACAAUUAUGUCCCAUUCCCAUGGAAAAGUAUUUGGAAGACAAAGGCACCUCUAAAGGCCGCUUUUUUUGUAUGCACAACUUCUUUGGGGAAGAUUCUUACAAUAGAUAACCUCAGGAAACGUGUCAUUAUAGCUAUGAAUUGGUGUUACAUGUGCAAGAAGAGUGGUGAGUCUGCUAACCAUCUAUUACUACAUUGUAAGGUUGCCAGGACCUUGUGGACCGAAGUCUUAGCACGUGUAGGGUUGGUGUGGGUGAUGCC